UACAGAGGUGGCAAGCGUUGUUCGGAAUUACUGGGCGUAAAGGGCGCGUAGGCGGCCUUGUAAGUCCUGUGUGAAAUCCCCCGGCUCAACUGGGGAACUGCACAGGAGACUGCUUGGCUUGAGCUCGGGAGAGGGAAGCGGAAUUCCGGGUGUAGCGGUGAAAUGCGUAGAUAUCGGAAGGAACAUCAGUGGCGAAAGCGACUUCCUGGACCAGUACCGACGUUCAGGCACGAAAGCGUGGGGAGCAAACAGG
Molecule: ribosomal RNA, 253 nt
Filed under: uncultured bacterium
Lineage: Bacteria
Description: partial 16S ribosomal RNA
Rfam family: Bacterial small subunit ribosomal RNA
Source: RNAcentral